UAAAAAGAGGGAUAAGAGAUUAAAUUAGGGUUCGGUAUGCGACCCUUCGUCUUUCUCCCCCAAAUCAGACUCUCCUCUUCCUCUGCUACAACGGCGACGGCGCACCUCCGAUGAAGAUCCUCGGCGCGCCACCGUGAACUCACCCAAGGUCUCGUCUCUCAUCUCAAAUUUCAAUCCACCCUCUUCUGAUUUUAACCCUAACUAGUUAACUCUUUACCACAGAGAAACCCUAAGCAUCGAUACUCCCGGACUCAAGCAUGAUUUUUUUUACGAAAUUGAAGCAAGCAAGACCUUAUCUUAAUCACAGAAGCACGGAUACAAAUCAAAAGCGCGUAAAAGAACCUGUUUAUGGUGGCCCGAGCUUCCGGUGAGUCGCUAUGGCUCAAAGACGAUGAUGUGCUCAAGACUGCUUUAGAAGAGUACUCCAAUUACCCGCUGAAGAUGUUAUUGAUGAUGAUCGUUGCUGUCUUGAGAAGACGAUGAUGCUGCAGUUGAUAGAUGGAUCGAACUGUGAUUGAAGAUUGUGUGAUAUCAUUGAGCGAAAUUGUUGAAGAAGUGAAGGAUGAAGAUCAGAAGGCAGGGAAACUGUUGGAGGUAAAGAAUUCUUUGUUUCAGAGAGAGUGAUGAGACUGAAGAAUGAAGAAGGUGAAGAUGAUGAAUGGUUUAGAAAAAUGGUGAUGGUGAAUAAGAAAAUGAAUGUGAAGGUUAUGGAAGUGAAGGGAGAGUUUGAAGAUUGAGAAUGAAGGGUGAAGAUGAUGAAUGGUUUAGAAAAAUGGUGAUGGUGAAUAAGAAAAUGAAUGUGAAGGUUAUGGAAGUGAAGGGAGAGUUUGAAGAUUGAGAAUGAAGGGUGA
Long non-coding RNA from Vicia villosa (hairy vetch), 851 nucleotides. RefSeq lists it as uncharacterized. NCBI's taxonomy places the organism in Eukaryota, Viridiplantae, Streptophyta, Magnoliopsida, Fabales, Fabaceae. The record is from RefSeq and is a predicted model, not a curated record. The transcript is spliced from 3 exons.